UAUAAACAAGGGAAAGAGCUCCAUCCAUGUGGAGAAGAUUGGGAGCGACUUCUGAAGCAGCUGUGUCAUACAAGCCUCACAAAAGAUGCCAUUGCUUUAGGGAUUUGACUAGAGUGGUGCAUUGGCUCAGUGAUUAAGAAGAUGCUGGACUUGUUGGCUAGAAAGUCGGUUCGAGGCUUGAGCACCACGUUACGUGGCGAACUCCCAUUCUCGCUCUAGCUCCUGCCAACCUAGCAGUUUGAAAGCAUGUAAAUGUGAGUAGAUAAAUAGGUACCACUUUGGUGGGAAAGUAACAGUGCUCUGUAAAUCAUGCUGGCCACAUGAUGGCAGAAAUGUCUUCGGACAGCGCUGGCUCAAUGGCCUUGAAACAGAGAUGAGCACCACCACAUAUAGUUGGCAAUGACUAGCGGAGUAAAAUCCGCAGGGACGCCUUUUAUUUUGUACAACACCAUGCUCCUACCUUCUAUUUUUCCCAAAACAACAUCCCUGUGAAGUGAGAGAGAAAAACUGUCGCAAAAUCACCCAAGGGGUUGGACUUGAUCAUCUAAAUCAAUCAGGGCUGUCAAACUCCCGCCCCAUGGGCCGGAUGCGUCACAUGCUGGCCACGCCCAUGCCCAUGUUUAGCGAAGGGGGAAAAAGUCCUGAUACGUCAUGUGAUGCCACCGUGAUGACGUGAGUUUGACACCCCUGAUCUAAAUAGUCCCUUCUGGUUUUAUAUUUCUAUGUCAUUCAGACAAGGCUGGUGAUAACCCAAAGGCUACCAGUUGCUUGACUCCAGUGUUCACAGUAUGGAAACCCCUCUCAUCAGAGAAGGUAUCUGUGCUUAGAAUCAGUCAAGGCAAGAAAACAAAAUAUUCCCCAAAUGUUCACAAGGUUAGCAAUAGCAAGAUAUAAUGAAUAUUGAACCAGCUUUCCUUAACCCAACAUCCUCCAGAUGCUUUGGACUACAGCUGCUUUGCCCCAUCAGGCAAGAGCCUUGUUGACCGUGGAUGAUGAAAGCUAUAGUGCAAGAUGCUGACUGGGGAAUUCUGGGAGUUGAAGUCCAGACAUCUUACUGCUCUGGAGGCUGAAGCAUCCAUACAUCUAUGAGAAAUCAUGAGGAACUACAAUGAAGGUUAAGCCUGAGUUUUGAAGAAAAAGGACCUCAAUCUUUGGAACAACACAACAUUCAGGUUUUCGUGCUACAUCCAUACUAAGAUCAUAUUCAUUAUAUACAUGUGUCACAGAUCUAUGUAUUCCACUCCGACUGUGCUUGCUACUUCACUAGUGACCCAUCUGCCUACUUCAGUUGAAAAGCACAUGACUGAGAGAUGCCAGACGCUGGUAGGCUGAAGCAGAAGGAUAAUAAUGAUCACAAUGCUCAGAAAAAGGAGAAAACCCAGAAUGAUGCAGGUCAUCUGCAGGUCCCGAUCUGGUGAUGUUGCUUUCACGUCUUCAGGAGUUGUAAAAGCUGCAAAUGGAAACGUUGAUAGAAUUGAGAAAAGGAAAGAAAAAAACUGCUUUCUGAAGCCGUCUACAGGUAGUCCUUGACUUACGACCACAACUGAGCCCAGAAUUUAUGUUGCUAAGCGACACAUUAUUUAAGUGAGUUUUGUCCCAUUUUGUGACUUUUCUUGCCACAUUUGUUAAGUGACUCACUGCAGUUGUUAAAUUAGUAACAUGGUUGUUAAUCUGGCUUCCCCGUUGACUUUGCUUGUCAGAAGGAUGUAAAUCACGUGCUGCAAUGGCUAUAAGUGCUCUCAAUGGCCAUAAGCCAUUGUUUUCAAUGCUGUUGUAAUUUCAAACGGUCACUAAAAGAACUGUUGUAAGCCGA
Non-coding RNA from Pantherophis guttatus, 1813 nucleotides. NCBI's taxonomy places the organism in Eukaryota, Metazoa, Chordata, Lepidosauria, Squamata, Colubridae. The record is from RefSeq and is a predicted model, not a curated record.